This 658-nucleotide ribosomal RNA is filed under the name uncultured bacterium. RNAcentral describes it as "bacterial SSU rRNA". It matches the Rfam family "Bacterial small subunit ribosomal RNA", at positions 371 to 1024 of the family's 1533-position model. The record is from RNAcentral.
AUGGACGAAAGCUGACGGAGCACGCCGCGUGAGUGAUGAAGGUUUUCGGAUCGUAAAACUCUGUUGUUAGGGAAGAACAAGGCAUAGUAACUGAUGGCACCUUGACGGUACCUAACCAGAAAGCCACGGCUAACUACGUGCCAGCAGCCGCGGUAAUACGUAGGUGGCAAGCGUUGUCCGGAAUUAUUGGGCGUAAAGCGCUCGCAGGCGGUUCUUUAAGUCUGAUGUGAAAUCUUACGGCUCAACCGUAAACGUGCAUUGGAAACUGGGGAACUUGAGUGCAGAAGAGGAGAGUGGAAUUCCACGUGUAGCGGUGAAAUGCGUAGAGAUGUGGAGGAACACCAGUGGCGAAGGCGACUCUCUGGUCUGUAACUGACGCUGAGGAGCGAAAGCGUGGGGAGCGAACAGGAUUAGAUACCCUGGUAGUCCACGCCGUAAACGAUGAGUGCUAGGUGUUAGGGAGUUUCCGCCCCUUAGUGCUGAAGUUAACGCAUUAAGCACUCCGCCUGGGGAGUACGGCCGCAAGGCUGAAACUCAAAAGAAUUGACGGGGGCCCGCACAAGCGGUGGAGCAUGUGGUUAAAUUCGAAGCAACGCGAAGAACCUUACCAGGUCUUGACAUCCUCUGAACACUCUAGAGAUAGAGUUUUCCCUUCGGG